ACAUCCUUUUUCCUACGAACCCCAAAAAAUACUGUAUCCUCUUUCACGUUCACACCUUCACGCACUCGCAUGUUGCUCUAGCCAGAUCCCCUUUCUCUCUUCCUUGUUAUCUCCGUUCACUCCAAAAUUACUGCCGCCGGAUAGCUCCCCGUCAGCUUGCUUCCUUGAUUCGUUGCCAUGAGCUUGCUCAUCCUCUCCUGCAGCCACCCCCGCAGCUCGAUUCGCUGGUCCCGCCAUAGGAUGACCUUCAACGACGGCUGGUUUGUCUCCACGUACGCCUUCUCGGUCUCCUAGGCUGGUAAACGGCGAUGGAGGGGUAGCAGGCCCAAGGUCAAGCUGCGAAGGGAGUAGGCGAGAUCAUCCAUCUGCGCGGUGUUGUUGCUGUCGGCGUCCGUGCAGGUGAUGUGGGCAUGGAUUUCGUCUCUCGCAGCCAUCUUUGAUCCAUCUUUAGUACAUUAUGAGGAUGGUGGAAACGUUUUCCACCCCUAGAGCGCCAGCCAAACGCAUCCUCCACAUGGGCGACAUUAUUUGAAGUUCGAAGGUCCCUCUUUCCCUUUUCCUUGACUAUCAUUUUUUUUUCAGAACCGUUUCCUUUGUUUGUGUGAUUGAACAUAACGUAAUUAAGGACAUGCCUGUUUAGUGAAAAUUGUUUCUUCAUUUUUCCUUGGAUCUUGAAAAAGAAUGUGAUUAUUUUUUUAAGGGCUCCAUAGGUGUUGAAUGAGGUAGAUAAUAAUUAGGGAGUGAAAUUGGAAAGAAUGUAAGCAUAUGUCCGCGCAUACAUGAUAACAGAAUUGACGGUGCUUUUGCCAUCGACAUGCAUGUAGGGGAUGUGCUAGCUUCUCUCGCGUGCGAGUGUGAGGUUGGUGGGGACAAUGUUGUCCCCAAGUGUGUAGUCGGACGCGUCCUCACUGUCCCAAAGCGAGGCAGCCUGAAAAUUUUCUCCGUCGUCGACAGAGGCAACCUGCUUGGUCAUUGAAUAUUUUGACCUACAUGUCCUCCUUCCUCUUAUCCUUUUUUGUCUUUGUAUGAUUGAACUAAUAUAAUUAAAUAAGGUAGUGCUUUUUAGUGACUAACGUUCCUGUUUAUGGUUUUUAUACCAUCAUGUAUACCCGUUGCUCUUGAUUUUCUUUCCAUCGACUUAUGGUAAAGGUACUAAAUGAUGAUAGUAAGUUAUGAAUGCCAAAUACAGAUUACAGUGUAGUGUUAAUAUGUUUAUGGCCCCUCCACUUUUUUUCCACUCUUGGGAUGACAUUGGCAGUGUGAGGCCCCUCUACCCCUAUUCAACAAACUUAAAAAUAAUUAGUAUACUUAUGGUUAGCUACAAUUUUAAUAUUUUCCAAAGACAAAUUAAGAUUCAAAACGAAAUUUUAAAAUAGGUCUGAUUGCGUUGUAGAUAUACAAUGUAUUGACUCUGCAUAUGUUAAUUCACUGGCUUCUUCACACAUCCAUCUAGUGUGUAAAUUUAGUGAUUCCUACUCUUUCUUUCGUUAUGAUCUUUGUUAAAUCUGUAGAAUCAGAGAAAAUGACUUGCUGCUCAUUUUCCAUGUAGAAAGGCAAUCUUUUGACGUAAGGAUCUCUGAAGUGCAAUUCAAACUGAACUAUUUUCCAACAACUAGAAGUGUGGCUUGGUCAUCACCUUUACUUAUGUAUUUAAAAAGGUUUCUCAAAUUCCAUGCUAUGUGGCCCACUAUUUCUUUUCAUUGUUUAUUCCUGCACAAUAGAGAAUGAAAAUAUAAAGUUCAAGAGGAUGAUAUUAUAAUAUUAUUACAAACAGUGGUAGAACCAAAUUUGUGUUUUUUUGGGGAGAUGGAUCAUGGAUGACUACAAAGAUCAAUGACGAUGAACCUGCUGAUAUUUGGAGAUGGGAGUAUCUUGCUCCGCCGCUUGAGAACUGGGCCGGCCAGCCCUGUUCGUCCCAAUGGUUGGUCCACCACAGGUUACGGAUUAAUGCUCAAGUUUGUGAAGAUUCAUUAUUUUUAUUACUUUUUGCCUUACUUUUCACGUUAUUUUUAUGCCAUUUGUACUUGAUUAAUGAGGUAUUUUAUUUAGACAGAAUUACUGAGGUAUUCAGUCCAAAUAUUAUGUGAACCAUUAUCUGAUCUAGAUACUGCAAGUAGAUAUCAUACUGCAGUAUCCUUACCCUUUGCUUCUUAAUAGACUUCAGACCUAUGGUCGCCGUUCCGCAAUCCUAGAUUAUAGUAGAGGAGGAUGCUAUAAUUCUGUGAGAUGGUACUUACUAAAGAUGGUCUGAUCUCUUGACAGAGCCGAUUAUGAUUGAGGAUAGUCGACAUGAGAUUGGGGUGCAGGUGACCGAUGUAGGAAGACAAUGCUUAAGUGCCACUUGUUGGAGGAAGUUGUCGAAGUGUUGUUUGCCGGAGGAAGAUGAUGUAAUAGGGGUACUCUGAAAUCUAAAGGACAAUGCAUUUUUGAGAUGGUCGAAGCAUUGCAUGGGGAAAGUAUUUUACGGAUGGCUGAGUUGACCACACUUGCUCGAUGGAAAGACAGGUUGCUUGGAUGCGGAGAGACUUUAUCUAUGUACGUGAAUGUGAGAUUUUGUUUAUGUUUGGAGAGAUUAUGUCUAGAUUUUAUUUAUGUACGUGAACGUGAGAUUUUGUUUAUGUUUGGAGAGACAUGUCUUUGUAAAAUAUUGAUAGAGUUUGGUUAUUGCGUCAGGAUCGUUUGACUUUUUCUUGGACCAUGAGAGUUAUAUAUUUUUAAACAUGUGAUGAUAAGUUUUUUUAA
Molecule: long non-coding RNA, 2742 nt
Organism: Triticum dicoccoides
Lineage: Eukaryota; Viridiplantae; Streptophyta; Magnoliopsida; Poales; Poaceae
Exons: 2
Source: RefSeq, a predicted model, not a curated record